RNAcentral lists this ribosomal RNA (253 nucleotides) under uncultured bacterium. Its description in RNAcentral is "partial 16S ribosomal RNA". It matches the Rfam family "Bacterial small subunit ribosomal RNA", at positions 524 to 776 of the family's 1533-position model. The record is from RNAcentral.
UACGAAGGGGGCUAGCGUUGUUCGGAAUUACUGGGCGUAAAGGGCGCGUAGGCGGCUUAUCAAGUCAGGCGUGAAAUUCCCGGGCUCAACCUGGGGGCUGCGCUUGAUACUGAUGAGCUUGAAUGCGGGAGAGGAUAGUGGAAUUCCCAGUGUAGAGGUGAAAUUCGUAGAUAUUGGGAAGAACACCGGUGGCGAAGGCGGCUAUCUGGCCCGUAAUUGACGCUGAGGCGCGAAAGCGUGGGGAGCAAACAGG